AUUGAACGCUGGCGGAAUGCUUUACACAUGCAAGUCGAACGGUAGAGGGGGCAACCCCUCGAGAGUGGCGAACGGGUGAGUAAUAUAUCGGAACGUGCCCAGUCGUGGGGGAUAACGUAGCGAAAGUUACGCUAAUACCGCAUACGAUCUAAGGAUGAAAGCGGGGGAUCGCAAGACCUCGCGCGAUUGGAGCGGCCGAUAUCAGAUUAGGUAGUUGGUGGGGUAAAGGCUCACCAAGCCGACGAUCUGUAGCUGGUCUGAGAGGACGACCAGCCACACUGGGACUGAGACACGGCCCAGACUCCUACGGGAGGCAGCAGUGGGGAAUUUUGGACAAUGGGCGCAAGCCUGAUCCAGCCAUGCCGCGUGCAGGAUGAAGGCCUUCGGGUUGUAAACUGCUUUUGUACGGAACGAAAAGGUUUGACUUAAUACGUUGGACUCAUGACGGUACCGUAAGAAUAAGCACCGGCUAACUACGUGCCAGCCGCCGCGGUAA
This 496-nucleotide ribosomal RNA is filed under the name uncultured bacterium. Its description in RNAcentral is "partial 16S ribosomal RNA". It matches the Rfam family "Bacterial small subunit ribosomal RNA", at positions 30 to 523 of the family's 1533-position model. The record is from RNAcentral.